This 690-nucleotide ribosomal RNA is filed under the name uncultured Actinomycetes bacterium. RNAcentral's name for it is "bacterial SSU rRNA". It matches the Rfam family "Bacterial small subunit ribosomal RNA", at positions 28 to 720 of the family's 1533-position model. The record is from RNAcentral. Lineage: Bacteria; Bacillati; Actinomycetota; Actinomycetes.
GAUGAACGCUGGCGGCGUGCUUAACACAUGCAAGUCGAACGAUGAACCUCACUUGUGGGGGGAUUAGUGGCGAACGGGUGAGUAACACGUGAGUAACCUGCCCUUGACUCUGGGAUAAGCCUGGGAAACCGGGUCUAAUACUGGAUACGACCUUCUGGCGCAUGCCAUGUUGGUGGAAAGCUUUUGUGGUUUUGGAUGGACUCGCGGCCUAUCAGCUUGUUGGUGGGGUAAUGGCCUACCAAGGCGACGACGGGUAGCCGGCCUGAGAGGGUGACCGGCCACACUGGGACUGAGACACGGCCCAGACUCCUACGGGAGGCAGCAGUGGGGAAUAUUGCACAAUGGGCGCAAGCCUGAUGCAGCGACGCCGCGUGAGGGAUGAAGGCCUUCGGGUUGUAAACCUCUUUCAGUAGGGAAGAAGCCGCUCUUUCGGGGGUGGUGACGGUACCUGCAGAAGAAGCGCCGGCUAACUACGUGCCAGCAGCCGCGGUAAUACGUAGGGCGCAAGCGUUAUCCGGAAUUAUUGGGCGUAAAGAGCUCGUAGGCGGUUUGUCGCGUCUGCCGUGAAAGUCCGGGGCUUAACCCCGGAUCUGCGGUGGGUACGGGCAGACUAGAGUGCAGUAGGGGAGACUGGAAUUCCUGGUGUAGCGGUGAAAUGCGCAGAUAUCAGGAGGAACACCGAUGGCGAAG